GAUGAACGCUGGCGGCGUGCCUAAUACAUGCAAGUCGAGCGAAAGGACGAGGAGCUUGCUUCUCUGAUGUUAGCGGCGGACGUGUGAGUAACACGUGGAUAACCUACCUAUAAGACUGGGAUAACUUCGGGAAACCGUAGCUAAUACCGGAUAAUAUUUUGAACCGCAUGGUUCAAAAGUGAAAGACGGUCUUGCUGUAACUUAUAGCUGGAUCCGCGCUGCAUUAGCUAGUUGGUAAGGUAACGGCUUACCACGGCAACGAUGCAUAGCCGACCUGAGAGGGUGAUCGGCCACACGGGAACUGGGACACGGUCCAUGCUACUACGGGAGGCAGCAGUAGGGAAUCUUCCGCAAUGGGCGAAAGCCUUACGGAGCAACGCCGCGUGAGUGAUGAAGGUCUUCGGAUCGUAAAACUCUGUUAUUAGGGAAGAACAUAUGUCGAAGUAACUGUGCACAUCUUGACGGUACUGAAUCAGAAAGCCACGGCUAACUACGUG
This 497-nucleotide ribosomal RNA is filed under the name uncultured bacterium. RNAcentral's name for it is "partial 16S ribosomal RNA". It matches the Rfam family "Bacterial small subunit ribosomal RNA", at positions 28 to 507 of the family's 1533-position model. The record is from RNAcentral.